GACGAACGCUGGCGGCGUGCUUAACACAUGCAAGUCGGACGGAAAGGCCCUGCUUUUGUGGGGUGCUCGAGUGGCGAACGGGUGAGUAACACGUGAGUAACCUGCCCUUGACUUUGGGAUAACUUCAGGAAACUGGGGCUAAUACCGGAUAGGAGCUCCUGCUGCAUGGUGGGGGUUGGAAAGUUUCGGCGGUUGGGGAUGGACUCGCGGCUUAUCAGCUUGCUGGUGGGGUAGUGGCUUACCAAGGCUUUGACGGGUAGCCGGCCUGAGAGGGUGACCGGCCACAUUGGGACUGAGAUACGGCCCAGACUCCUACGGGAGGCAGCAGUGGGGAAUAUUGCACAAUGGGCGGAAGCCUGAUGCAGCAACGCCGCGUGCGGGAUGACGGCCUUCGGGUUGUAAACCGCUUUCGCCUGUGACGAAGCGUGAGUGACGGUAAUGGGUAAAGAAGCACCGGCUAACUACGUG
This 468-nucleotide ribosomal RNA is filed under the name uncultured bacterium. Its description in RNAcentral is "partial 16S ribosomal RNA". It matches the Rfam family "Bacterial small subunit ribosomal RNA", at positions 28 to 507 of the family's 1533-position model. The record is from RNAcentral.